UCUUCUUCCAAAAAUUUCAAUCUUUCUAACAUCCCAUUAAUAUCUUCAGCCAUCGAGAAUCUUAUCUCAACAAGAAAACCACCCCCUCAGUUUACCAAAAGGCAACAAGAAAAACCCUAAAAUAAACACAAGAAAGAAAGGCAGUGAGCCGGGAUUGAGGCUAAAAUACAGCCUUACAGAGUGAGAGGAAAUCAAAGAAAACAAGUAUAGGAAAAAAACAAAAACUGUAGGAAAAUGAAAGACAAAACCACUUACAAUAAUAAAGAGAAAAAUGAAAAGAAAAAGAUAAGGCAGGUAAAACCAGGUUUAAGUAACACAAAAACAACCAAUAUUAACAGAGAUUAGUUACUCAUACAAAUUAGAAAAGAAAUCAAGCCAUCCAAAAAAUGAAAAGAAAAGAAAAACCUAAGUCUUCAACAAGAAGCCGGAAAAAACAAAACUAAAUCUUCUCCACCGUCAGCAUCCAAUUGAUAGUCACACAAACCAUCAAGCAUGCAAAGCACGUAUCUAAUUUCUCGGUAAAAGAGAGCCAAUUAAAAGAUCUGUUCUCAUGCAAAGAACGUAUGAAAGUCAACCAAAA
Molecule: long non-coding RNA, 580 nt
Filed under: Gossypium raimondii (Peruvian cotton)
Lineage: Eukaryota; Viridiplantae; Streptophyta; Magnoliopsida; Malvales; Malvaceae
Description: long non-coding RNA (GRAI_LNC002210)
Source: RNAcentral